CUGAGAAGUGAUAGAUUGGUCAAAGCUCCAAUUGAAAAAGGUAUGGACCCAAAUAGACCAGAAGAACUCAUGUCAAGCUCUAUUAAUUUCCCCAACAUCCCAAUUUCUUGGGGGAUGGUGCCAGAAAGGCCACUUUCCGCAAGAUAUAGAAUCUCUAGGUUCCUCAUAUUCACAAUUUCUUUGGGAAUGGAACCAUGGAAUUUAUUAGUUCCAAAUGACAAAUGGUCUAGGUCCAUGUGCCAAAUUCUCUGAGGAAUGCUGCCAAAAAGGUUAUUGGCUCUUACAUCUAGAUGAAUCAAAUUGUUCAACUUUUCUAUAGAGAUUGGGAUUGUCCCUGUGAGAUUGCAAUAAGGAAUAUGAAGCAUUUUGAGCUCCCUCAAUCUCCCUAUUUCUUGGGGAAGGGACUCACUGAAAGUAUUAUAACUCAUGUUCAACUUUUGAAGGCUAAUCAACUGUGUUAUUUCAGAAGGGAUAAUCCCAGAAAGUUUAUUAGCAGACAAAUCAAGAACAACUAGAUUGGACAGAACACCAAUUUGAGGAGGAAUACUUCCAUUUAGAAAGUUGGUACUCAGAUUUAGAGUGUGAAUAUUUGUAAGCAUUGAGAAAUUGAGAUUUUCAAGCGUACCUCUUAAUCCAAUAUUUUGAAGAUUUAUUUGGGAAACAUGAUUGGAGUGAUCACAUGCAAUUCCGAGCCAAUUGCAGGAAGUGUUGGCAAUCCAUGAAGAGAGAGAAGCUUGGCUCUGCUUGUCAAGGCUGGCUUUCCACUUUAGCAGAGCAUUUGCUUCUGAAGCAAUUCCAGAAGAAUUGAAAGCAUGAGAAUGGGUAAAUGGACAAAAGAACAUUAGAAGAAUCAACCAAAAAGGUUGGAACUUCAAGGACAGAAGUGUUGGAAAUAUGAACAUCAUACUGAAUUGUUCAUACAAUAUUGAAUUGCAACGUAAGAGAAAGCUUGCAUGUUGUUCAUACAAUGUGCCGCUACUUAUAAACUAAUAGUCAAUGGUAUAUGACUCAAGUCAACAUUAUUAACUGCAUGUUGGCGUGUUCCAUAAUUUAUCGUCUUUAAUACGGCUGUAAGUUUCUUCCACUUAAAUUUAUUAAAGGACUAAAAUAUUUUAAUUUGCAGAAAUUAAAAUGUAAAUUAUAUAUUUUGAGUGGUUAAAAAAUCACUUUUAAAUUUAACGGACUAAAAUAAAGUUUAAUGCAAAUUUUAGAGAAUAAAAACAUUUUAGCCGGAAAAAUCUUGAAAAUGUAUUUCCACAUUAUUAUUUUACGGACAUGAUCCAGAUGUUGUUAGCCACGUUAACCAUCUUAACAACUAAUGUAACGAUAUUAUAUUAUUGAUGAGGAACAAAAGGAUUAUUUUUAGAAUUUUAAAAUUAAAAGUAAUUUUUAAUUUAGGAAUCUAAAUCAGAAAAAAAAAAUCAAAUAUAAAGAUUAAAAGUAUUUAACGAUAAAGUUGUUAUUUAUGUUUGAAUUAAAUAUUUUUUUUUAAUUUUUAAAUUUUGAUCUGAAAUUAGAAUAUGUGUCUACUUAAAAUUUUGAUUCAUUUUUAUCCAAAAUUUUAAUAAUAAUAGAUAUAUUUAUUUUAAAUCAAUUAUUUUUGUGAGGAAAAUGAAAUAAAUCAUAAACUUAAGAUUGUUUUUUAAGGAAAGAAAAUAAUUAUUUAUAAUAGAAAAGUUGUGUAUAAAAUAAAAAAAUUAUUUCCAACAAAAUUAUAAAAUUUAUACUUUAUUAUUUUGGAGUAAAAAGAUGUAUCUCGCAUUUGUCUCCUGUAAUGUUUAUAAUUGAUUUGUGGAGUCUUGUUUCCACAAUUAUUAUUAGUGUAGGUUUUGUGAGAUAUAUUCUAAAACUUGCAGUUUUGUCAAUGAAAGAUUGACUUGAGUACUUUUUUUAUUGACAAGUGUUAAUUGUUCGUUUUAUUUAUUAAUGAAAAAUAAUUACACAUAUUUUUACGCUGUAAAAAUUCUUUAUCUUUAAUAAUACAUCGUCUAGUCUUUGAAAAAAUUUCUUAGUAACAAAUCUUUUGUAUUAAUCAAGAUUCUCUCUAAAAGAGAUUUUCAAUUUGUACUUAUUUAAAAAAAAUACUUUAUUAUUUUUAUGAUUUAAAACAUUUGUUUGUUUAACUUAAAAAAAGUUAAAUGGUUUUAGUCAAUUGAGUUAUUGUAAUACUAAGAACGGUGAACCAAAUUGUAAUUUUUUAAAGUUAGUGAAACUUUUUAAGAAUGUUUGUGCUUAAAAGAGAAUGGACUUUGUCAAUUGGAGUGAACUAAUAAUGACUAAGGAUGAGAUGUCUUUUUUAGAUAGUUUAAAUGAAUGCAUAUUUAUUAAAUAAGAGAGCAUAUUUUCUAUAAUAAAUGGACGUUAUAUGACUUGUUAGAUUCAUCGUUGCUAAUUCAAUAAGCGACAUAUUAGAAGACAUUAUAUUAUAUGUUAUGUGGAAACAUACUUUUUUGCAUGUGCUUAUGUGUUGUUGGCAUACAACAUGGAUAAUAUAUUUUCAUGUUAUUUUGCUUGUUGUAUGGUAUAUGUUAUUGAUGGGUCGGUCCAACUGAUGCGUUAGGCAGAAGUCAGUCAGAGCAAAUGGUUUUGUAUAUAAUGGGUCGAAAUUGGUCCAACAUCUGAUUUACUAGACCGUAACAAGACCAAUGCGUAAAUUAUGAUUAGGAAGCCAAUAAUUAUUAUUGGAUUAUAACUGGCAGUUAGCAAAAUAAUAUAUAGAAAAGAAGGUAAGACAAUUUUAUUAGAUCCGUAAUAGUUUAAGAUCCAACAGAUAGCCUAUAAAUAAAGGGUUAGACCAUUAAGAUACGCAAGUUUUACAAAAUUCUGAAUGUACAAUAUCUGUCAAAUAUCAUCAUUAUUCUCAAGCCUGUCAUUGACUUAAGCGUCGGAUCUGAAGUGCCUUUAACCGACACCUCUCCCCGAAAUUGGACUGAAAGAACUUGAAGUACGAGAUACAAAGGUCAGAUGGCAAAGACAAAAAUGUUAGUCUCUUAGUCCUACAUAAAAUAUAUACAGAAACACUUGUGUAUAGACUUCAUUAUACUUUCAUUAUUGAAAGAAAAAUGCUUACGGAGAAUAAAUCAAAUUUAGAAGAAAAAUAUAUUUGGAAAACUUUGUAAAAUACAAUAUCACUUUUUUUUAUUCACUGUUGCAACAUUAUGUGUCAAAACAAGAAUUUUUUGAUCAACUUAAAUUCGAGCAUGCUUUUCAAAGCCUUGUGUCUUACAAAGCCUUCGUAGUGACAAAAAUCCAAACAACUUUGCAUUGUAUAAUUUUUUCAGACUUGAAGAAUCCCUUAUCAAUCAUUUCAAACGAUGGUGUACACCCAAUUGCAUCAUCAAUUGUUAGAUAUGAUCUUUUAUAAAAUAAUUUAUUAUUAUUUUGAGUAUAUUUUGUAGCAUUAGUUGCCUAAAGGUUAACCUCAAUUAUAGCUUGUCAGUUAUAAUGGCAACCUAAAUUAUAGCUUGAAAUUUGUAUAUAUUCCUUAUCAAUGAAUAUGCAAAGCACAGAUGAUUUUCUUCAUGGUAUCAGAUUAGGUUACCUUCCUCAAAUCCUAAAAACCUAGUCGUCAUUGUUCUUCUCUUCUUCCAAGCAAUUUCUUUUCCCCCUUCCUUCUUCCCAUUGUUGCCCAUCAAUGGCCGAAAAUUCCAAAUUUCACUCUGCCCUAGCUGUCACCAACGUGAAGCAUCUUAUUCCAAUCACCUUGGACAUGGAAACCGGCCAAUAUCACUCAUGGGCAACCUUAUUUAAGGUCCAAGCUAAAGUUCAUUCAGUGCUUGAACAUAUCAUCCCUCCACCGGAUGAUGCAGCCAUAACAACAUAUCAAACAACCAAGGCCGUUGAUAUCCCACUAUGGAACCGUCUUGAUGUUGUUGUACUUCAAUGGAUUUAUGCGACUAUAUCUCCUUAUAUUCUCACAUCGAUCCUCGUGGCUGAUGAUUCGGCUGAAAGAGCCUGGCAGCGUGUCGCUGAUUUAUUCCAAGAUAACAAAAACUCUAGGGCGAUGUAUCUUGAAACUCAGUUCACAAACACGUGCUUGACUGAUUUCUCCUCAACCUUCGCCUAUUACAACCACCUCAAAUCUCUUGCUGACCAAUUAUCUAACGUCGGGGCUCCUAUUUCAGAUCAACGUUUUGUGCUCCGCUUGCUCGCUGGAUUAACUGAAGCCUAUGCUAGUUUUGUCACGGUUAUGCAACAGAAAGAUGAAUUGCCCAGUUUUGCUACAACAUGUUCUUGUUUAAAGAUGGAAGAGACCACGAUUAAGGAGUGAGCAACCCGUGAAUCUGGUUCCACUGCCCUCUUAACCGUGGAUGAAGGCUUCUUUUCACAGCCGCAACACCAAAACAACAACAUCACUUAAUCACAGGGUCGUAAUAAUACCAAUCGAGGCAAGAAAAACAACCGAGGUAGAAGAUAUGUAUCUUGUUCUAUGUUUGAUUAUGUUGAUAAAAUCAGUAUGUAUGUAUGUAUCUUGUUAUUAUGAUUGUUUUAUCGGUAGCUUACCCCAUACAUGUUUGUGUUUGUGUGUUAGUGAAUGAAAUUAUCGGUGAUGAUCGUAUAAUUUGUUACACAUGAGAAAAUAAUAUUACAGAUGUUCCAAAGGCGUGAUUGACUAGAGAAAGGAUGCAAAAUAACCUUGGGAUUCAUUUAAAGCUAUUUUGUUUUACAAGUUAAGACAAAUUGGAGUAUUUCCUUUGUUAUUUUAUUACUCGAAAUAAUGUAAUUGGAUAAGGUUUUCUUUAAGUACGUUUUUGUGUAAUGAUAAAGUUUUGAUAUUUACCAAGCUUUUGUUAAACUGCGGCAUCCCAAAAAUUGGGGUGUUACACUUCCUACACCUCCAACUCCCUAAAAUGUCCCUAGUAAAUGAGGUUUGUAAGUAGUAAUUGUUGCUUACCGAAUUUGAACUUCCAACCACUACUUCAUUCACCGUCAUCCCUUUUUUCCUCCUUAUAUCCUCUUUCUUCAUUGUCAUUUAUUUUGUUUUCUUUCUUGUUGUGGUCCAUUAUUGUUUCAAUUGUUUUAGUGUGGCUUUUCUUUGUGGUGCAUUUGUCAUGGUCCAUUUUAGGUGGGGUGUUUGUGGUUUGUGUUCCUGGUGUUGGUGUGUCUAGUUCAUUUUGUCGGGAAGAAAUAGUCAUAUGCUGAUAUAUCUUCGUCUUCAUGCAAGCUUUCACUGCCUUCAAAAGCUUUCUCUGUGUGAAAAGCAAAUGCAUGAAACCUAUACUCCAAUUCGCAGGGUUCAAUGGAUUUCGAAAUCCCAUGAGACCUCAAAGAAUUUUGAAAUUUGUCAAUGCCUUCAAUGGAUUCCUCGACGAAUUUCGAAGGCCUCGAUGGAUUUUAAAAUCCAUUAAAGAAUAUUUCUACUAUUAGUUAUAAUUUUAAGUAUUUCCAAAUUAUUACAAAUUUUUUAUUUAUUAUUAAUUUGUUAUACGGUUUUUUUUAAUUUCCUUUAAAUGUUUUAUUAUUUUAAAUGUGUGAAUAAUUUGUUACAUAGUUUUUAAUAGUUUUAUUUUGAAGUUUCAUUAUUUAAAAUUUUUAAAAAAUUUGUUAGAGGGGUGAAUAUUAUGUUACAGGUGAUUAUACUAUAAACGAAACAAUACACUUAUGAUAUGGAUUUUCAAGUAAAUUCUAAAUUUAUAUAAAAUUUUAAUAAUAUACUUAUAAUAUACAGAAAGUUUGUUUUGAUAAAGUAAAAUGGAUUCCAAAUUGAUCAGGUUACCUAUGGAAGUAGGGAUUGGUCCAAAGAGGUUCUUUUGAUAAAGAAAAAUGGAUUUCAAAUUGACCAGGUUACUUGGAAGUAGCGCUUGGUCCAGAGAGGUUGUUUUGAUAAAGAAAAAUGAAUUCCAAAUUGACCAGGUUACUUGUGGAAGUAGGGAUUGGUUUGAAGAUGAUGUUUUGAUAAAGAAAAAUGGAUUCCAAAUUGACCAAGUUACCUAUGAAAAUAGGGAUUGGUACAGAGAGGUUGUUUUGAUAAAGAAAAAAGGAUUUCAAAUUGACCAGGUUACCAAUUGAAUUACGGAUUGGUCUAGAGAGGUUGUUUUGAUUAAGAAAAAUGGAUUUUAAAUUGACCAGGUUACCUAUGGAAGUAGGGAUUGGUUUAGAGAGAUUGUUUUGAUGAAGAUAAAUGGAUUCCAAAUUAACCAAGUUACCUAUGAAUGUGUGGACUGGUCGAGAGAGGUUGUUUUGAUAAAGAAAAAUGGAUUCCAAAUUGAUCAGGUUAUCUAUGGAAGUAGAGAUGUGUCUAGAGAGGUUGUUUUGAUAAAGAAAAAUUGUUUCCAAAUUGAGCAGAUUACCUAUGAUAAUAGGGAUUUGUCCAAAGAAGGUUGUUUUGAUUAAGAAAAAUGAAUUUCAAAUUGACCAAGUUACCUAUGGAAGUAGGGUUGGGUCUAAAGAGGUUGUUUUGAUGAAGAUAAAUAGACUCUAAGUUGAUCAGGUUACUUAUGGAAGUAUGGAUUGGUCCAAAAAGAUUGUUUUUAUAAAGAAAAAUGGAUUCCAAAUUCAUCAGAUUAGUUAUGAAAAUAGAUAUUGGUCCAAAAAGGUUGUUUUGAUGAAAUAAAAUGACUUCCAAAUUAAUCAAAUUACCUAUGGGAGCAAAUUAGAUUUGCCAAUCGACGCAGUGAGGUUCCUGAGUUAUGCUUUGAAGUGUACUCUAAUCUCUUCAAAUUUCAAAAACCUCCAAAAAGUACCGAUGAGAGUUUGAAAACAAAAUAAUGUCAGCGACUUAGAUGAAAGAGAAACAGAAAAAGGAAAGAAAGAGAACACGUUUUUGUCGAAUUAUUGUGCAUAGAAGGAAGUCUUUUGUUUUCCUAUUAGUACCCCAUAAUUUCCAACUACACUCCUUUAUUUUUUUAAAAUAUUUCACUCUUAAAAGGUGAUUUUUGUAUUACUUAUUUUAAAAUAUUUGGAAACAAGUUGUUUAGAAUUUAUGGAUUUCAGAACCGAGUCUUAAAAACAGGUUUAAAUGCAUUUUAGAAGUUUUUCAAAACAAAUGUUUUUGGAAUAUAUCAUAAGUUUUUCGGAAAAAAGUUUUCUAAAACAAACUUUUUAAAACAUAUAAGAUGGAUGCAUUCUAGAAUAGGAUUUUCAAAACAAAAUUUCUAAAAUAAGAUUUGUAGAAUAAGAUUUCUACAAGAUUUCCAAAACAUAUAUGAUAUCUUCUAUGAUGAGUUUUUAGAUAAUUUUCCUACCAAAUCGAUCAUUUUAUCUCUCUUUAUUUUUUUCUCUAAAGAAUGUAGUGGUUAUGAAGUACAGAUAGCAAUUGCGACCACAAGAAUGAGAGGAUAGUUUAAUCCUUUUGCUUUUAGUAUAAGAAUGCAUGUAAUAAUCAUGGGAUGCAAAAAGAAAAGACCACGAAACCCACUAAAAGCUCAACUGAUGACCAUAAAAUAGUGGGUGUUCCUCCCUCCAAGUGGGUCUUGCACCUCUCCACUAUUUUAAUUUAUUUCAAAAAUAUUCUAUACUUUUCCACUAUUUUCUUUUAUUCCAAAAAUACCCUCCACCUCUCCACUAUUCUUAACAACUUUUCUCUUUCUCUCUCUGUAUUAAUGGAGAAUUUAUAUGGCUUAUUAAUGGAACAUUUACAUGACUCAAAUUUGAACUUGUGAUAUAUUUUCUUAAAUAAGUUUGAUUCAAUCUUAUUUUAGUUGUUGAAUAUAUUUUUUCUUUUCAAAUUACUUAGAAAAUGGUAAAAUUUUGUUCUAAAUUUCUAGAAAAAUAUUUAUAUAUGUGUGUGUUUUUUUUACAUAUAAUAUCUAUAAUUUUUAACAUUUUAUUAUGUUUUAAUUCACCAACAUGUUUGACUCAAAUAACUUGAAUAAAAUAUUUCAUUUAUUAGAUAAAUAAUAUAAAAUGUUAUUAAAUACUUAAAAUAUAAAAAAAAGUUAUUUGUUAAAGAUUUAGAAUUUAUUUAGUUCUUUCGUCAUUAUAAAGUUAGUGUAUAAUAAUAAUAAUAUAUCAUUAUUUACUAUUAAUAUUAUGUUUAUUAUUUUGUAUUUGCAUCUAACUUUUAAUUUUAUAAAAUGGAAAUGGUAGAAGUACUAAUAUUGAAGUUUCCUCUGAAUUUUAUAUUUUGUAGUAUAUCUCAAAUUCAAAUCUGAAUCAUGUAAAUGCUCCAUUAAUGCAGAGAGAGAAAGAGAAAAAUUGUUAAGGAUAGUGGGAGGUGUAGGGUAUUUUUGGAAUAAAAAAAAAUAGUGGAGAGGUGUAAAAUAUUUUUGAAAUAAAUGAAAAUAGUGAGAAGAUGCAGGACAAGAUGGAGGGAGCAACACCCUAAAAUAGUUUACAAAUUGAAAUUGGACAAUUUCUUCCAUGUGCACCCCAAGGAGAUAGUUGAAGAGAGUUUCUCUCUACACCUCAAAACGUUUCUUCCUACACCUCCAUCACUUCAUUCAUUCAGUGUCAUCCCCUUCUUCCUCCUUAUAUUCUCUAUUUCUUCGUUGUCAUUUAUUUUAUUUUCUUUCUUGUUUUGGUCCAUUGUUGUUUCAAUUGUUUUAUUCGAGUUUUUCUUUGUGGUCCAUUUCAAGUGGGAUGUUUGUGGUUGGUGUUCUUGAUGCAAGCUUACUUUGCCUUCAAAACCUUUCUCUACGUAAAAAACAAUGCAUGAAAGCUGGCAUUUUUUGUCAAUGAAAAAUUGACUACAAGUCAAUGGAGACGACUCAUUCAAAACUUUAUGAUGGAAUAGUAAAAUAUAUUGAUUUAUAUAAUAUAGGGUUAAAUAUGUUUUAGUCCCUAUACUUUGAGGCGAUUUUGGUUUUAGUCCCUCUUUCAAACUAAGGUACAAUUUAGUCCUUCAACUUUAGAAAACUCUGGUUUUAGUCCUUUUUACCAAAUUUUUUUAACUUUAUUUGUUGUUUCAAGCACGUUUCAUAUAACAUUUGGAUUGUUUACACUGUUUGACACAUUUUUGUUUCAAUGUUAACUGAGAAACGCGUUUGAAACAAUAAAUAAAGUUAAAAAAAUUCGGUAAAAAGGACUAAAACCAGAGUUUUCUAAAGUUGAAGGACUAAAUUGUACCUUAAUUUGAAAGAGGACUAAAACCAAAAUCAUCCCAAAAUAUAGGGACUAAAAACAUAUUUAACCCUACAAUAUAAUUCAACGUGUAUAACAAUGUUUAAUAUAAAACUUACAGUCAACAUAAAUUAUUACAAAAAUAUGAUUAUCAUUCCAAUACAUGCUUAUAAGAAGAUUAGUUGAAUAAUAUUUUUAUUUUUAAAAUCUUAUAUUUUAAUAAUUUUAAGAAAAAAUAACUAUAUAAAUAAGAAAGAGCUUUGUAUAUUAUUGUAUUUUUUUUCCAUUUUUAUAAUUUGAAAGUUUAAAAAUGAAUUUGGAAAUUCCUUAUGAUACUACAUGUGAUUUCAAUAAAAUAGUAAUUGUAUCAUAUAAUUUGUAUCUUACCGUUAUCUGAUAUGUGUCAAUAUAUGUAAUAAAAGUUUGAUACGUUGCUCUUAUCAUAAUUUGAUGCUUUAAACGAGUCGUUUUAAGGGUUUGACAAGCUUUUAUUUAUUGUGUGAUUGAAUUUAUAGGUAAUAAAGUCAUAUUCAUAAAAUGAAAAUUAAGUUAAGCGAAGAAUUGAUGUAUGGAUUUUAUUUUAUAUGUUUUCAAACGUGUUUUUAACUAAUAUUUAAAUAAAAAUGUAUCAAACUGAAUAAAUAAUUCAAAUUUUAUUAUGAAAUAUAUUUGAAAUGUAAAAUAAACUUAACAAAAUUUAAUUAAAAUAAGGAUUAAAUUCAUGUAUUUCUAAAAUUGAGUAACUAAAUUGAAUUAAAGUUUCGAAUAGAAAUUAAUUCUAAUUUUCACUAAACGACCAAAAACAUAUUUAAUCUUAUAUUUUUUGCAUUAUUCAUCAUUUGUAUUUUAGGAUCAUUUUAGUGUUGUUGAAAGUGAUAUUUCCUAUUUUUCCCAUUGUUUUGCAUUAAAGAUGAGCGGAAUCACAUAAGGCAUGAAUACUAUUUUCAAUUCAAAACCUUAAGACAGUGUAUUAAUGGGUCUUCACUUUUAUAAGAUAUUCCACUUUCUCAUUUCUACUCAAUAUAAGACACAUACUUAGAUUCCCGGUAUAAUUUCUAUGUGACUAGGAGGUGUAAUGGUAUAUAUAUUCUGUUAUUCGUGUUAUGAUAUAUAUAUUACAUCCAAUAACUAGAUUGGUUUUUAAGUGAUAGAUAAAAGUUUAGCUGAAAAGUUCCAUUUAAGUCCUUAUUUUUUUGCAAUUCUAGUUUCUUUCAAACAAAAUGAAACAAAAACGUUUAAGACAAAGCUAGUUAUAGCACAUACUAUAUUAAAUAGUAAACUAUAAGUCUAACUGAAGAGGUUUUAAAUAUUAUAAAUUUACUUUUGUCUUUAAUCAAUUUAGAAUCUCUAACAUACCAUUUCAAGUUGAGACAUGUGAACGAUGAUUUAGUUUUCUCCUAUUGGUAAGUCAAAGUAUGGGUGUAACAAAAAUUACUGUUAAAAAGAAAAGCAACAUGUUAAAAAGGCCCGAGAAGAUGUUGGUGUUUUCUUAGACACUUUCGCUCCUGGUGCCAAACUGUGUUGGAGAUCCCAGACAACUUUGCAUUGUACUAUGUCUCAAACAUACAGAAUCCCAUAUCAAUUUUCCAUCGAUGUUGUACACCCGAUUUUGUCAUCUUGAUGUAUAAACUUGUUGAAGUGUAUAAAGAGGUUGUCAUUUCAUCCUCAAUUAUAAUUGCUAUUGGAUAUAUUUGAAUUGGAUACCAAAUAAACAUAUUAAUAACAAUAUUUAAUUGUGAUUACAACAAAAGAAAAAAAAUACAGUACAAAAUAGAAAAUAGCAAGUAAAAUUGAAUGUUGUUUAAUAACUUUACUUUUUACUUACGCACGUUGAAAAGAAUAAAAAUGUAUAUUGCUUCUCUUGCCAACUGAAUUCUUUUAUUAAAUUAAAGAGACUAUUAAAUAACAUUCACGUAACAGAAUACAUAAAAGAAGUGGUAACAGCUAAAAAAUAAAGGUGCCUAAAAAUAAGGCAUUAUUAAGUAACAAAAUCAAAAUAAGUGCCUACAAAUAAGGUAUUAUUAUGCAGAAUAAAAUAUCUUUUCAUUCCCUCCCUUAAACUGACUUCCAGCGUAUCAAUUUAUUUCAGAUAAAUCAACCAUUCCCAUCUUCAUCCUGAGUUUCUGAAAAGCUUCGAGUUUUAAAGCCUUGGUCAUUAUAUCUGCAACCUGUUCGUUAGUUCCACAGUGCAUCAACUCAAUUUCUCCAUCUUGCACAAGAUCUCUUAAAAAAUGAAAACGCACUCUAAUAUGCUUGCUCCUGCCAUGCAUUACUGGAUUUUUUGAAAGUUUAAUGGUUGAACUAUUGUCACACAUAAUAAUAGUGCUAGUGUCCUGAAUAUAAGUUAAGUUUCCCAACACUCUUUUCAUCCACAUUGCUUGAUAGUGGCAACAACUGCUACAAAUUCUGCCUCUGUACUUGAGAGAGUAACAAUUGGUUGUUUCUUGGACAUCCAUGUUACUGCACCUGAACUUAGCAAAAAUACAUAACCAGAAGUGCUUUUAGAAUCAUCCUCAUCUCCUGCAUAAUAAGAAUCUGUGAAAGCAAGCAUAUUUUCUUCUUUAACAGCUUCCUCAAAUAAAAUUGGAUCUUCACUUGUGACAUCUUGUACUAUAUAGGCUGCUAUCUCAGCUUCAUCUUCUUCACUUAAUCCUUCUCCAAUAACAAAUUCUUCCAUGCAACUUGGUUGUCUUCUUUCUCUCCCUUGAAUUACGUGUUCCUGUGAAUUCACUAUUGCUUCAUUUUGAAUGACACUUUCCUCAUUAUGCUCAUUAUGCUCAUUAUUCGCACCAUCACUAUCAACUUCAAUAUUUUCUUCAAAUUCAUCAAUAUGUAACUUAUCAUCAUCACCCCAUAACAACUCAGUUUCUAUUUGCUCUUUAUAAUUUGGACCCUAAUCCCAACUCUUCUCUUCUUCAAAUAUAACGUCUUUACUAAUAACAAUCCUCUUUGUCUUAGGAUUAAAUAGACGAUAACCCUUNGACUNUUCACUAACNCCCAAUAAAAUACAAGGAAAACUUUUAUCAUCAAGCUUACCUCUUUUUGCCUCUGGUAUGUGCACAUGAGCCAGGCAUCCCCAAACUCGAAGAUGGUUUAUUGAAGGUUUGAUUCCACUCCAAGCUUCUUGUGGAGUUAUGUUCCUCACAGCAUGCGUUGGACAUCGAUUCAAUAAAUAAAAGGUCCAGUUUACAGCUUCAGGCCAAAAUAACUCAGGAACCUUUUUGGCAGAGAGCAAACAACGUACCAUAUUCAUAAUAGUUCUGUUUUUGCGCUCUGCAACUCCGUUUUGAUGCGGUGUAUAAGUUGUGGUAAGUUGCCUUUUUAUUCCAUGUUCUUCACAAAAUAGCUUGAAUUGAAGAGAGUUAAACUCCCCUCCUCUAUCCGUUCGUAAGCAUUUGAUGGAUGCUUCAACUUUCUUUUCCAUCAUUUUCUUGUAGGAUUUGAAACACUCCAAAGCUUCAGAUUUUUCAGAGAGCAAAUACACCCAACCUUUACGACUAUAAUCAUAAGCUUAAAAAAUACCUUUUUCCACUAUUUGAAAUGGGUUCUAUUAGACCGCAAAUAUCUGCAUGUAUGAGUUCCAAGACCUUGCUAGCGUGCCAUUUACUUGUCUUAGGAAUUGGAUUACGAUGUUGUUUUCCAGCGAAGCAAUCAACACACGUGAUACUAGAGUCACUGGGUUCAGGCAGUCCAUGAACCAUUUGUCGUGUUUGUAGUGUCUUCAAGCCUUUGUAGUUUAUGUGGCCAAACCUUUGAUGCCAAAGGUAAGUGAGGUCAGAGGAGGUGUGUAGACAUUCUUCAAUGGAUAGGGUGAUAGAUCUUUCAUUGACGAAAAUGAACAUACGGUUGCUGCUCAUUUUUGUAUAUGCGAUCAAACCUUUAGACGGAUGAUAGAUGUUGCAUGUUCCUUUUUGUAUAAGAAUAGCAAGACCCUUUUCUUGUAAUUGUCCCAUGCUUAACAAAUUUUUUUGAAGCUCUGGGACAUAGUACACAUCUAAGGAAGGUUGUGCCAUUAAACGUCAAUCUGACACUUCCUAUUCCAAGGACAAUCAUCUAAGAAUUGUUUCCACAUUUGACAAAAUGUUGAUCUCCAUAAGCCAAAUCUACAAACAUACCUUUAUAACCACACAUAUGAUUAGAACACCCUGAAUCCAAAAACCAUGCGUCACUCCUUUUGGAUUCCUUUUCUACAGUAGCCAUCAGAAGAAGUUCUUCUGUUUCAUCUAACUCUGCAUAAUUUGCUUCUCCUUUGUUCCAUUGAGGACAUUCAUACUGAAAAUGUCCCAAGUGGUGACACUUGAAGCAUUCCACAGUGGCUUUUGAAGAAAAUUGUCUCCUUCUUCCCCGUCCACGACCACGAUAUGUUCUUCUUCCUCUACCUCUACCGCGGCUACUUUCUGAUGUGAGUACUUGUUCAUUAUCUUGGUAGACCUUUAUAAACUUUUGCUCAUGGACUACCAAGCAGCUUUGAAGUUCGUCCAUAGACAUUUUCUCUGUGUCCUUCGACUCUUCGAUCGAAACCACGAUAUAGGUGAAACGUGGUGUCAACGUUUGAAGUAUUUUUUCAACCACCUUUGAAUCGGACAUAAGUUCUCCAUUGCUUCUCGUUUUGUUUGCCACUGCCAUGACUCUAGCAAAAUAUUUUGUGAUGGUUUCUAAUUCUGUCAUUUCAAGCACCUCAAACUCCCUUCUCAAUGCAUUGAGCAUUGAUUUCUUCACACGAUCAUUUCUUCCAUAUUUUCUUUUCAAGGAAUCCCAAACAAUCUGAGAUGUGUUCCUAUCCAGAAUUUGUUCGAAAAUUGAUCGAUCAAUGGCCCUGAAAAGGUAAUGUUUGACUUUGUGAUCUUCAAUUUUGGAUUUCUCCAAUUGCUCUGAUUCUUCACAAGACAGAACAGUACCCUCCAUAGGCUCUUCAACACCAUUCUAAAUCAGAUUCCAGAGACCCUUGGCACAUAAAAAAUUCUCCAUCAGUUCACUCCAAUGAUCAUAAUGUUGACCGUCAAAGUAAGGAAUUUUUGAGGAGAAUUUAUCAUUAUUCAUCUUCGUAAGCUGCAGCUUCUGUAUCAGGCCCACUAGGAGCUCUGAUACCAGUUUGAAAAGAAUAAAAAUGUAUAUUGCUUCUCUUUCCAACUGAGUUCUUUUAUUAAAUUAAAGAGACUAUUAAAUAGCACUCACGUAACAUAAUACAUGAAAGAAGUGGUAAUAGCUAAAAAAUAAAUGUGCCUAAAAAUAAGGCAUUAUUAAGUAACAGAAUCAAAAUAAGUGCCUACAAAUCAGGCAUUAUUGUGCAGAAUAAAAUUUCUCUUCACACGUAAAUUGAGAUGUUGAGUCCAUCCACUUAAGAUGAGCUUUACACUACAAGCUCAUUGACAACCUCUUUCAUAGUAGGGCGAGAUCGUGGACUUUCAGUCAUGCAGGAAACUGCUAUCUUCGCAACUGAUGCCACCUCUUUAAGUAAACGUUUAGUUGGAGGAGGGAGACGCUGCUCCAACUUAUCCAUCAAUGUCAUAUGAUCAGCAGUGGAUGAAGAUGAUAAUAAGGAAGAUAUAAAAUCACCAGGAUGCUUUCCCAGAAGUAUUUCCAAUGCCAACACUCCAAAACUAUACACGUCACAUUUCUCAUUCACUUCCAUUGUGUAUGCAAGUUCUGUAACAAACUAAAGCUGAUAUCAUAUAAAAAAAAAGGGAAGGUAGUGACAAUGAUAAAAUAUAUAUAGAUAAUUGUAACCGUCAAAGAGAAACUUAAAAUAUGAGAUCCUCAACAAGUACAAGGAAAGAAAAUUGACCUGGAGCGGCAUAUCCGAAGGUUCCUACAAAUGAGGUCCAAUUGGAUGAAUUGGGAUUAAGAAACUUGGUUGUUCCGAAAUCUGAGACAUGUUCCACAUAUUCNAAAUCCAAAAGGACAUUUUUACUUGAUAUAUCACGAUGAAUAAUUGGUGGUGANCAAUCAUAAUGCAUGUANAAUAAAGNAUUUGNUANAUCUUUAAUAACAUUCACUCUCUUAUUCCAAUCAAANGCAAUUGCUUGUUCAUCAUCCUUCAAAAUAUUCUGGACAUUGCCCUUCUCCAAGAAUUCACAAACCAUAAAUGACCGUUGGGAAUGUGAACAAAACCCAUAUAAGGUUACAAUGUUACGAUGCCGAAUUUCUGUCAGAGCUUGGAUCUCACUUGUGAACGCUUUCACAUUGAGCUUUUCUUCAUUUGGAACUGAAUGCAAUUUCUUUACAGCCACAACUUGACCUGAGGGUAACAUUGCUUUGUAAACUUGUCCUUGUCCUCCAACUCCAAUGAGAUGCUUAUCGUCAAAAUUUUCAGUGGCUUCAACAAUAUUUUCAAAUACAAUUUUGCCAUCAAAACUCCAUAUUGCAAAUGUGUUUAGAGUUUGUAAAUUGAUAGGUUGCUCUUCCAUUUUCAUUGAAGUUUUACAUAAAUAAUUCAAGACUCCGAAAAGAAACAAUGCCAGCAUUACAGUGCCCGAAGUAAGGGGUAGAACCAUUGUUAUGACUUUCUUUGUCAUAUGCUUAUGUGAUUUCCCACUUAGUGUUAGGCAAGGCUUUAAGCCACUAACAUUUCCACACAAGCCUUUAUUAUUUCUUACUGCGUCCAUUGUAGCAUUGCCAAUGGUCUGGAAUUAUUAGAUCCAAGACUCAAAAUUUGAAGAUUCUUCAUUGAUACAAUCUCUAUGGGAAUAUUUCCUAAAAGAUUAUUGUUGUUGAGUGAUAGACGAAACAACAAAACCAAUAAUUUAGAUAAAUCUUGUGGAAUGCUUCCUGUAAGAUGAUUUGAGGAUAACUGAAGUUCACGUAAUUCGGUUGCCUCGCUUAGUUCUGGUGGGAUAACACCUGAUAAGUUAUUGUUAGAGAUCUUGAGGCUUGUGAGGCUACGGAACUUCCCCCAAUUUGGUGAAAGAUGACCAUAAAAAUUGUUUUCACUCAAUUCGAUGUAAACCAAGUUUGGAAGUACACCAAAAGCAUAUAUUAUGUUUCCACUUAGUUGAUUUUCCUCAAGUCUCACUCGUACAAAACUAGAGCAAUUCUUCAAACUCUCUGGAAUAUGGCCAGUGAAAUGGUUAUUGCUAGCGGAAAAUUUUGCCAACAUUCCACCAACACAAAUGUUGUGAGGUAAAUGGCCGACAAAAUUAUUAUCAGCGAGCUGCAAAUUUUCCAAAGCAAUAAUCCUGUUCAUUUGUAUUGGAAUAUUGCCACUGAGAUAAUUUUCAAUCAAAUUCAAUUUGUGAAGCUUUGACAUAUUUCCAAUAGUGGAAGGAAUGUAUCCAGAAAGUUUGUUUUGAUAAAGUAAAACGGAUUCCAAAUUGACCAGGUUACCUAUGGAAGUAGGGAUUGGUCCAAAGAGAUUAUUGCCCAGCAACUGGAUUGUUAGAAGGGAAUGCAAAUUUCCUAUUUCAUCCGGGAUAAAGCCAGAUAAUUGGUUGUCAUAAAGGUAAAGAUAACUUAGAUUGCUCAAGUUUCCAAUUGUGGAAGGGAUUUUACCAGAGAGAAUAUUCUCAAACCAAACAAGUUCACUGAGUUUUCUCAAAAAUCCAAUUUCAGGAGGAAUAAAACCUGACAAUUGGUUUCCUUCAAGGAAAAGUUUAUUUAGGUUGCUCAAAUAUCCAAUUUCACGAGGAAUAGAGUCAGAGAGAUUAUUACUUUGAAGAUAUAGCCUCUUGAGGUUGACCAACUUACCAAUUUCACUAGAAAUAUGACCAGAAAGUUUAUUGUCAUGUAAGCUGAGAAGUGAUAGAUUGGUCAAAGCUCCAAUUGAAAUAGGUAUGGACCCAAAAAGAUCAGAAGAACUCAUGUCGAGCUCUAUUAAUUUCCCCAACAUCCCAAUUUCUUGGGGGAUGGUGCCUGUAACACCCCUUCUCGGAGUGUCACAGAUUUUUUUUUUUUAAAUACACGUUCACAUUUAAAACCACACAUUUAUUAAUAUUAUACAUUGAGAACAUCAGAGUUUUUCAAGAACAAUUAUUGGAUUACAGACCAAAUCAUAAAAGUAUAUUAAAAUUAAAAACCACAACGUUCCAUGAUUUAAAAUACAUAUUUAAAAAUCCCAAAGAGUGUUUCCCCAACGCAUCCUCGCACUAAACGUCUUCAGUUUUACCUGAAACAUCAUCUACUCCCGUAUAACGACACGAGUUAUACGAUCAUCGUAGACACACAAGUAGGGUGAGCUAACAGAAAAAUAUGAGUUACAGAUAAACCUACUUACAUACUUUGAAUAAUAUUAUUAAUGUAAACAUACUACCAUCACGUAUACUUCAGACACUACUCACUUCUCAUCUGACUCUAAUCACUUCUCAUUUCUCACGUAUCUAUGGAAUUUAUCUCGAUUUUUUUCGCAUUUGUUAAGUUUAUGCCACAACCAGUCCCUCAUAUGGACCGCGGAUAAGAGUCGUCCUACGCACACCACAUUGGACAUAUCUCCCUAAUUCUUCAAGGGCUUACGAGUAAAAACAUUGGUGAGUAACAUCCAUUCACCAAGCACAAUACUCAGCACAAGUCAGAAACUCUUGGCGAGAUAUUUGUACCCUCUAGAAAGAGGAAAAGUAACAGGACUCGAAUCCACUUAUCGCCUUACAUAGGCAAAAAGGAAAUCAUCAUUUUUAACUACCGAGAUAAAUAUAAAUCAUCCCAAUGAUACGAUAAGAUUAGAGAAUCAAAAAGGAUUAUCUAUUAGACUAAAAGAACUCAACAUCCAUUAACUUAAAUUAAAUCUAAAAUACAUUCAGAAUAACGUGUUGUCUACUUUGACCUUGGCUCAAUGUUUUACUCGUAAUUUUUCUCUACAGUAUUCCAACUGAAGAGAUUCUUGUUUUGUUGGAUUCUAAACUCAAGAAUCUUUUCUUAGACACCAGACUAGUAAAAUAUCCUUCAUUACAAUUUUAAUAUUUAAAAUAUUCAACACAAAAAGUAUUGGUAAGCUACCAAAAACAUAAUUUUCAUAUAAACGUUCUGGAAAACCAAGAAGUUGAAUCUGGCAAAGCCGGUUAGACAUCUUCUUAUCCUUCCAGAUAGAUGUAAUAGAAAAAGGAUAUACACUCAAUAAUUCAUACAAACAUCAUAAAAUCCAUUCAUCCCAAAAAAAAAAAUCAUACAAAUUAAAUAUAUCACAAAAUAAUUUAACUGCACAUAAUCUGUUUGAUAAGAAUUAGUUAAAAACACAACGAGUAGACUUCCAGGAAAGAGAGGUGUGUCACAAUGGACAACUUAAGUACCAGGUCUUUCCUUAGCCAAAGUGUUCCUCAAUGUGUUAUUAACAGAUUUCUUAUUCACAGAUUCAAAACAACAGCAUAUAAUAUUAUCACAGAAAUUCAAAUAGUUAUGCAACAAGCACAUAGGUUUUUCAUUAAUAGUAAUUGCACAAAAUUUCAAGACAUGAAUAGUUAUAAAAAAAUAUUUUAUAAAUAAAUAAAAAAACUUAGAAAGGUUAGCUCCCCUUACCUCUAUUUUAGACUCAAUUCCUUCCUCCGAAGUUGUUCCCCCCGAAAAUCUUCCAGAACCCCUACUCUUCUAAAAUUUUCUUCCUAACUCUUUCUUCUCAAGAUUUCUCACUUGAUUCUUCCUCUCUUUAUGCAGAAUGAGCUCUCCUCCCAUGGCUAUUUAUAGUCCAAAAAAUUUUACUAUUUAAAUUAUUUUAAUAUUAUUUUAUUAAUAUUUUAAUCACCACUUGCAAAUCUUAUCCUUUCUUAAUAAUGCAACUCAAUGAUUCUUAUCCUUUCAUUAUUUUAUUUUUAUUAUUAUUAUUAUUAUUUUUUUUUACUAUUCACGUUUUACUAUUCACUUUUUACUAUUCACUUUUUUUUUUUAACAAAACCUUCUAAAAUAGGUUCUCAAAAUUUUAAACCCCUUCUUAUGAAAUUAUUAUAAUUUUCUAUCAUAAUCUAAAUGUUUCUAACCUUAACUAUAUUUUCCAUUCAUUAAAAUUAUUAUUACUAAUAAUAAUGCUAAAAUUUACUAUUAUUUAUAAAUAUUUUACAUGGGUCUUACAGUGCCAGAAAGGCCGCUUUCCCCAAGAUAUAGGAUCUCCAGGUUUCUCAUAUUCACAAUUUCUUUGGGAAUGGAAACAUGGAAGUUAUUAAUUGUAAGUGAUAAAUGGUUUAGGUCAAUGUGCAAAUUCUCUGAGGAAUGCUGCCAAAAAGGUUGUUGCCUGCUACAUCUAGAUGAAUCAAAUUGUUCAACUUUUCUAUAGAGAUUGGGAUUGUCCCUGUGAGAUUGCAAAAAGGAACAUGAAGCAUUCUCAGCUCCCUUAAUCUCCCUAUUUCUUGGGGAAGGGACUCACUGAAAGUAUUAUAACUCAUGUUCAACUUCUGAAGGCUAAUCAACUGUGUUAUUUCAGAAGGGAUAAUCCCAGAGAGUUUAUUAGCAGACAAAUCAAGAACAACUAGAUUGGACAGAACUCCAAUUUAAGGAGGAAUACUUCCAAUCAGAAAGUUGUUAGUGAUCACAUGCAAUUCCGAGCCAAUUGCAAGAAGUGUUAGCAGUCCAUGAAAAGAGAGAAGCUUGACUCUGCUUGUCAAGGCUGGCUUUCCACUUCACCAGAGCAUUUGCUUCUGAAGCAAUUCCGGAAGAAUUGAAAGCAUGAGAAUGGGGAAUGCAGAAAACAACAUUAGAAGAAGCAACCAAAAGGGUUGGAACUUCAUCGACAGAAGCGUUGGAAAUAUGAACAUCAUACUGAAUUGUUCACACAGCUACUUAGGUUCGACACACACAUAGAUCUCCACACAUGAUAAGAUAUUGUCCGCUUUGGGCCAAGCCCUCACGGUUUUGCUUUUGGUGCCACUCCAAAAGGCAUCUUAUCAGCCUUCACGGGUUUGCUUUUGGUACCACUCCAAAAGGCCUCUUAUCAUUGGAGGAAUGUAUGUGUAUUUAAACCCUUGACCAGCCCUUCUUUUACUCGAUGUGGGACUUUGUUUGCAUUCCAACAUUUUUUUUUCCUCAAAUUGAGUCUUAUUAUUCAUUGAUAAUUGAAGGGCUUUAAAUAGCCAUGAUACUUACAAUAUCAUGGAAAUAAAAAUAAAAUCUGAAAAUAAAAUAUCAACUGACUUAAAAAUAAAAUCUCCUUAACCUAUCAUACAAUAAUAUUCUAUCUAAUAAACAGAAAAUCAUAACUACUCAUUCAUAUUUUAUCUCUAUCAAAUCAAACCAAAUAUUACUAGACUCAAAACUAAUAAAAUAAUAUUUAAACAAAAUUAUUAAUAAAACCCUAAAAUUUAAGUUUAUCUCAAGUUUAUCUCAACAAACUCCCCCAUAAACUUAAAUUCUUCCUUCCUUGCUUUCCAUGUGCAUCAUCCCACACCGGGUUUGUUUCUUCUCUCCAAGAUUUUCAGCUCUGGUUCUUCUUUGCUUUUACCUGGGUUGUUAGACGACCAUGCUUAACCUUUAAGUACACAAAUUUGGCCUCCACCUUGGUGAGUUCACAAAAAAAGUUCUCGUUCCCACACAUAUGAUUGCUUGCUCCAGUAUCUAGAUACCAUACUGAGUUGGUAGAAAUCUCAUCGGCCUUCAUCUCUUCUUCAUCUUCUUCCCUAGAUGUUUUCUCUUCCUUUUCAGGAGCUGUCUUCCUCAGUUCCUCAAGCUCAACCCUCUGUUUAUUCGUAAUUUCAUUAGCUUCAUCUAGAAGCCUCCUUAUUCGCCGAAUCUCUUCAUCUUUUCCUUUGAGUUCUUUCUCCAGGUUUUCCUUCUCCACAAUUGUUGCAUCCUUUACCGAGAUCACUUCAUCCAUUGUUGGGAUUGGGCUCUCCAUGUCCACUACAUCCAAGAUCUUUGCUAUCAACAAUUCUUCUGCAUCUUCUUCUGCAUAUUCAGUAACGAGAUUCGUCUCCCCCUUUGUCUUGGUCUCGCAAUACCUUGAAAUAUGAUCAAACUUGCCACAGUUGUAGCACCUUGUUGCCCAACACUCGUUUUCAUAGUGGUCGCACUUGCCACACCUAAAACACUCUGCCCUUGACCGAUCUCCUCGGUAUUUUCCUUGUCUUCGAUCAUGCCAAUUCUGUUGACCGGUUUGAUCUUCAUUGCCUCUACCACGUCCACCUCGUCCUCGGCCUCCUCGCCAUCUUCCACCAGGACCUCGGCUCUGAGUAAUCUGAGAUUUAUCAAAGUCCCACAUCGAGUAAAAGAAGGGCUGGUCAAGAGUUUAAAUACACAUAGAUACCUCCAAUGAUAAGAGGCCUUUUGGAGUGGUACCAAAAGCAAAUUCGUGAGGGCUUGGCCCAAAGCGGACAAUAUCUUAUCAUGUGUGGAGAUCUAUGUGUGUGUUAAACCUCCCCCAACAGUGGUAUCAGAGCCCAUGGUUCUGGUCUGGUGACCGAGCUCAAACGAGUACGUCCUCCCAUGAUCAGGUGAGUCAGGCAGGAGGCCAGUGGCCACCGGAUGAAUCAUGAGAGGUGGGGAGAGCAAGAGAUGCUCAUUGUGACCAUGGAUCAUGAGGGCUUGGCCCAAAGCGGGCAAUAUCUUAUCAUGUGUAGAUAUCUAUGUGUGUGUCAAACCUCUCCAACAAUUAUCUAUACAUUAUCUGUAUGUGUUCCAUAAUUUUUCGUCCUUAAUACGACUGUAAGUUUCUUGCACUUAAAUUUAUUAAAGUUAUUGUCUUAUCAUCAUUUAAUAACACAAAUUUGAAAGUGAAAAUAAAUCAUUUUCAAAUAAGAAGAUAUAAAAAACAACUUUCAAAUUUAGGGAUUAUAAAAAUAUUUUUAAAUUUGGAGGACUAAAAUAUUUUAAUUUGCAGAAAUUAAAAUGUAAAUUUUAUAUUUUGAGUGGUUAAAAAAUCACUUUUAAAUUUAACGGACUAAAAUAAAGUUUAAUACAAAUUUUAGAGAAUAAAAACAUUUUAGCCGGAAAAUUCUUGAAAAUGUAUUUCCACAUUAUUAUUUUACGGACAUGAUCCAGAUGUUGUUAGGCACGUUAACCAUCUUAACAACUAAUGUAACGAUAUUAUAUUAUUGAUGAGGAACAAAAGGAUUAUUUUUAGAAUUUUAAAAUUAAAAAUAAUUUUUAAUUUAGGAAUCUAAAUCAGAAAAAAAAAAUCAAAUUUAAAGAUUAAAAGUAUUUAUUUUUACAGUGCAUUAUUUUUCUUUCUUUGCAUUUAUUCAUCCAUUUUAAUCCUUCAUUAUCAGUGCAUCUAUUUUUACAGUCUAUGUUUUCAUUACAGUAUCUUGCAUUCAUUGAUUAGUUUUAGUAAAUACAUGCAUUAUUAGAUAGUUUUAUAUUUUAGAUUUCAGUUUUACAAUUUUCUCUCCACCUACUUUUUAGUAAAUAAGUAUUUAGGCUUAAUUCUACAGUUUCUAAACUUGAUAAGUACCAAGUCCACGGAUUGAUCCUUGGUUGACCCCUAUAUUACAUUAGUGGGGAAAUUUAAGGUUUGUUGACUUUUGUGCGACCAAAAGCCUUUCAACAACAACCAACUUAACAUAUGAGACUAAAUUGACACAAAUUGAAUAACAUGGGGACCCAAUCUAUAUAUUUUUAAAAGAGGGUACUAAACUGAAAAUUUCCUCUUAACAUGGGGACCAAUUAAGGAUUUAAGUCCAUAUAAUUAUUAACAAUAUUUAAUUAUGAUUAUAUCUCAUAGUAUCUCGCAGUUACAAGUUUAAAGUAACACAAAUUAACAUAUAAAAAUUCAACACAAAAAAGAAAAUAGCAAAUAAUAAAACCCACCCUCUUUAUAAACUUCAAUCUUUAGCUAUACACGUAUGUUGCAAUCUUGACUCCAUUCAUGGAAGAUGUGAGCUUUACAUUACAAGUUCAUUGGCAACCUCCUUCAUAUUAGGACGAGAUCGUGGACUUUCAGUCAAACAAGCAACUGCUAUCUUUGCAAUUGAUGUCACUUCUUUAACUGAACAUUUUGUUGGAGGAGGAAGACGCUGGUCCAACUUCUCCAUCAAUGUCAAGUGAUCAAGUGUUAAGGCCACACUUGUGGAUGAAGAUGAUAAAGAGGAAGAUAUAAAAUCAGCAGGAUGCUUUCCAAGAAGUAUUUCCCAUGCCAACACUCCAAAACUAUACACGUCACAUUUCUCAUUCACUUCCAUUGUGUAUGCAAGUUCUGUAACAAACUAAACCUUNNNNNNNNNNNNNNNNNNNNNNNNNNNNNNNNNNNNNNNNNNNNNNNNNNNNNNNNNNNNNNNNNNNNNNNNNNNNNNNNNNNNNNNNNNNNNNNNNNNNNNNNNNNNNNNNNNNNNNNNNNNNNNNNNNNNNNNNNNNNNNNNNNNNNNNNNNNNNNNNNNNNNNNNNNNNNNNNNNNNNNNNNNNNNNNNNNNNNNNNNNNNNNNNNNNNNNNNNNNNNNNNNNNNNNNNNNNNNNNNNNNNNNNNNNNNNNNNNNNNNNNNNNNNNNNNNNNNNNNNNNNNNNNNNNNNNNNNNNNNUCACGAUGAAUAAUUGGUGGUGAGCAAUCAUAAUGCAUGUACAAUAAAGCAUUUGCUACAUCUUUAAUAACAUUCACUCUCUUAUUCCAAUCAAAUGCAAUUGCUUCUUCAUCAUCCUUCAAAAUAUUCUGGACAUUGCCCUUCUCCAAGAAUUCACACACCAUAAAUGACCAUUGGUAAUGCGAACAAAACCCAUAUAACUUUACUAUGUUACGAUGGCGAAUUUCUGUCAGAGCUUGGAUCUCACUUCUGAAAGCUUUCACAUUGAGCUUUUCUUCAUUUGGAACUGAAUGCAGUUUCUUUACAGCCACAACUUGACCUGAGGGUAACAUUGCUUUGUAAACUUGUCCUUGCCCUCCAACUCCAAUGAGAUGCUUAUCGUCAAAAUUUUCAGUGGCUUCAACAAUAUUCUCAAAUACCAUUUUGCCAUCAAAACUCCAUAUAGCAAAUGUGUUUGAAGUUUGUAAAUUGGUAGCUUCCUCUUCCAUUUUCAUUGAAGUUUUACAUAAAUAAUACAAGACUCCAAUAACAAACAAUGCCAGCAUUAGAGUGCCCAAAGUAAGGGGUAGAACCAUUGUUAUGACUUUCUUUGUCAUAUGCUUAUGUGAUUUCCCACUUAGUGUUAGGCAAGGCUUUAAGCCACUAACAUUGCCACACAAGCCUUUAUUAUUUCUUACUGCGUCAAUUGUAGCAUUGCGAAAGACUGGAAUGUUUGGAAGUGGACCCUCAAAAUCAUUGUAAGAUAUAUCAAUAGAUGUCAAGCUCAUCAUUUCAUCAAAGAUAGAAAGAUCACCUGAGAGACUAUUGUGAGAGAGAUUCAAUGUUUCUAAUUUUUUUAACCCUCCAAGCACAUGUGUUAAUGUUCCCCUCAACAAAUUUUCGCUGAGAUCAAGAGUUGUAAGAGAUAUUAAUUUGCCAAGCUCUAAGGGAAUAUUUCCCUCAAAUUUGUUCUGACUCAAAUUCAUUUCCAAUAAACUGAGCAAAUUUCCAAGUUGGCCUGGAAUUAACCCAGACAAAUUAUUAGAUCCAAGCCUCAAAAUUUGAAGAUUCUUCAUUGAUGCAAUUUUUGAGGGAAUAUUUCCUGAAAGAUUAUUGUUGUUGAGUGAUAGACUAAACAACAAAACCAAUUUAGAUAAAUCUUGUGGAAUGCUUCCUGUAAGAUGAUUUGAGGAUAACUGAAGUUCACAUAAUUCGGUUGCCUCGCUUAGUUCUGGUGGGAUAACACCUGAUAAGUUAUUGUUUAAGAUCUUGAGGCUUGUGAGGCUACGAAACUUCCCCCAAUUUGGUGAAAGAUGACCAUAAAAAUUGUUUUCACUCAAUUCGAUGUAAACCAAGUUUGGAAGUACACCAAAAGCAUCUGUUAUGUUUCUAGUUAGUUGAUUUUCCUGAAGUCUCACUCGUAGAAGGCUAGAGCAAUUCUUCAAACUCUCUGGAAUAUGGCCAGUGAAAUGGUUAUUGCUAGCGGAAAAUUUUGCCAACUUUCCACCAACACAAAUGUUGUGAGGUAAAUGGCCAACAAAAUUAUUAUCAACCAGCUGCAAACUUUCCAAAGCAAUAAUCCUGUUCAUUUCUAUUGGAAUCUUGCCACUGAGAUUAUUGUCAAAUAAAAUGAAUUCGUGAAGCUUUGACAAAUUUCCAAUAGUGGAAGGAAUGGAUCCAGAAAGUUUGUUUUGAUAAAGUAAAACAGAUUCCAAAUUGACCAAGUUACCUAUGGAAGUAGGGAUUGGUCCUGAGAGAUUAUUGUCAAAUAAAAAUAAUUGACGAAGCUUCGACAAAUUUCCAAUAGUGGAAGGAAUGGAUCCAGAAAGUUUGUUUUGAGAAAGAGAAACGGAUUCCAAAUUGACCAGGUUACCUAUGAUAGUAGGAAUGGGUCCAGAGAGGUUGUUUUGAUCAAGUAAAAUUGAUUUCAAAUUGACCAGGUUACCUAUGGAAGUAGGGAUUAGUCCAAAGAGGUUGUUUUGAGAAAGAGAAAUGGAUUCCAAAUUGACCAGGUUACCUAUGGAAACAGGGAUUGGUCCAGAAAGAUUGUUUUGAUGAAGUAAAAUAAAUUCCAAAUUGACCAGGUUACCUAUGGAAGUGGGAAUUGGUCCAGAAAGAUUGUUUUGAUGAAGUAAAAUAGAUUCCAAAUUGACCAGGUUACCUAUGGAAGUAGGAAUUGGUCCAGAGAGAUUAUUGCCCAGCAACUGGAUUGUUAGAAGGGAAUGCAAAUUUCCUAUUUCAUAUGGGAUAAAGCCAGAUAAUUGGUUGUCAUAAAGGUAAAGAAAGUUUAGAUUGCUCAAGUUUCCAAUUGUGGAAGGGAUUUUACCAGAGAGAAAAUUCUGAGACAAAUCAAGUUCACCGAGUUUUCUCAAAAGUCCAAUUUCAGGAGGAAUAGAGCCUAAAAAUUGGUUUCCAUAAAGGUUAAGACUAGUUAGAUUGAUCAACUUACCAAUUUCACGAUGAAUGUGUCCAGAAAGAUUACAAUGGCCUAUGUCGAGAUAUACUAGUUUCCUCAGCAUGUAAAUUUCUUGGGGCAUGGUGCCAGAAAGGCCACUAUCCCCAAGAUAUAGAAACUCCAGGUUCCUCAUAUUCACAAUUUCUUUGGGAAUGGAACCAUGGAAUUUAUUAGUUCCAAAUGACAAAUACUUUAGGUCCAUGUGCCAAAUUCUCUGAGGAAUGCUGCCAGAAAGGUUGUUGGAUCCUAUAUCUAGAUGAAUCAAAUUGUUCAACUUUUCUAUAGAGAUUGGGAUUGUCCCUGUGAGAUUGCAAUAAGGAAC
Molecule: long non-coding RNA, 26113 nt
Filed under: Vigna radiata
Lineage: Eukaryota; Viridiplantae; Streptophyta; Magnoliopsida; Fabales; Fabaceae
Description: long non-coding RNA (VRAD_LNC007791)
Source: RNAcentral